This 75-nucleotide transfer RNA is filed under the name Devosia nanyangense. RNAcentral describes it as "tRNA-Lys". It matches the Rfam family "tRNA". Rfam says of the family: Transfer RNA (tRNA) molecules are approximately 80 nucleotides in length. Their secondary structure includes four short double-helical elements and three loops (D, anti-codon, and T loops). RNAcentral also lists the same sequence under 4 other names. Lineage: Bacteria; Pseudomonadati; Pseudomonadota; Alphaproteobacteria; Hyphomicrobiales; Devosiaceae. The record is from RNAcentral.
GGGCCGGUAGCUCAGGGGUAGAGCAUUCGACUUUUAAUCGAAUGGUCGCGGGUUCGAUUCCCGCCCGGCCUACCA